RNAcentral lists this ribosomal RNA (1581 nucleotides) under Psephotellus pulcherrimus (paradise parrot). Its description in RNAcentral is "16S ribosomal RNA". It matches the Rfam family "Bacterial large subunit ribosomal RNA", at positions 430 to 2925 of the family's 2925-position model. The record is from RNAcentral. Lineage: Eukaryota; Metazoa; Chordata; Aves; Psittaciformes; Psittaculidae.
AAGCCUACUCUAGCUCCACCCACACAAUAAUCAAAAACCCACUACACCAGAUAACUAAAACAUUAUUCCAAACUUAGUAUAGGUGAUAGAAAAGUACCACCCGGACGCUAUAGAAAAAGUACCGUAAGGGAAAGAUGAAAUAAUAAUGAAAACCAAGCUCCCUACAGCAAAGAUAAACCCUUGUACCUUUUGCAUCAUGAUUUAGCAAGAACACCCAGACAAAGGGACCUUAAGCCUGCCACCCCGAAACCCAAGCGAGCUACCUACGAGCAGCUACCCCGAGCUAACCCGUCUCUGUUGCAAAAGAGUGGGAUGACUUGUAAGUAGAGGUGAAAAGCCAACCGAGCUGGGUGAUAGCUGGUUGCCUGCAAAGUGAAUCUAAGUUCCUCUAGUCUUACUCCACCCAGACAAACCCACUAACUCCUAUGUAUUGGACUAUAAGCUAAUUAAAGGGGGUACAGCCCCUUUAACUAAGGACAACAACCUCCACCAGCGGAUAAACUAAACUCACCUUACACCUGUGGGCCUUAAAGCAGCCACCCCAAAAGAAUGCGUCAAAGCUCUAAACCAAAAAAUUUGAAAACAACGCGACUCCCUAUACCCUAGCAAGCUAACCUAUACCUAUAGAUGAAUUAAUGCUAAAACGAGUAACCAGGAUACCAUAUCCCCCUAAGCGCCAGCCUAACCCCCAUUAACAGCAAAACCACAAUACAAACCCCCCCCCCCCCCCCCGACCAAAUAUUGAACGCACCCUGUUGACCCAACCCUGGAACGCACAUCUAGGAAGAUUCAAAUCUGCAAAAGGAACUCGGCAAGCCCAAGGCCCGACUGUUUAUCAAAAACAUAGCCUUCAGCCAAACAAGUAUUGAAGGUGAUGCCUGCCCAGUGACAUUACGUUCAACGGCCGCGGUAUCCUAACCGUGCAAAGGUAGCGCAAUCAAUUGUCUCAUAAAUCGAGACCUGUAUGAACGGCUAAACGAGGCCUUAACUGUCUCCUGCAGACAAUCAGUGAAACUGAUCUCCCUGUACAAAAGCAGGGAUAAAUACAUAAGACGAGAAGACCCUGUGGAACUUUAAAAUCAAUAGCCACCCCAACACCCAAUCAAACCUACCUGGCCCACCACCAAAAGUUAUGGCUAAUAUUUUUAGGUUGGGGCGACCCUGGAGAAAAACAAACCCUCCAGACACCAAGGCCAUAACCCUUAACCAAGAGCCACCCCUCAACGUGCUAAAAGCGCACAGACCCAAUAAAAUUGAUCAAUGGACCAAGCUACCCCAGGGAUAACAGCGCAAUUCCAUCCAAGAGCCCCUAUCGACGGAGGAGUUUACGACCUCGAUGUUGGAUCAGGACAUCCUAGUGGUGCAGCCGCUACUAAGGGUUCGUUUGUUCAACGAUUAACAGUCCUACGUGAUCUGAGUUCAGACCGGAGUAAUCCAGGUCGGUUUCUAUCUAUGAUCAACCUUCCCUAGUACGAAAGGACCGGAAAGGUAGGGCCAAUACCUUCAAGCACGCCCUCGCCACAAGUGAUGCCCACAACUAAAUCACCUACGGACCACACACCUCCCCCAAAACAAGGGUUG